RNAcentral lists this long non-coding RNA (2018 nucleotides) under Trifolium pratense (red clover). RNAcentral describes it as "long non-coding RNA (TPRA_LNC013167)". Lineage: Eukaryota; Viridiplantae; Streptophyta; Magnoliopsida; Fabales; Fabaceae. The record is from RNAcentral.
UACAAUGAUAUCCAAAUGUACUUAUGUUGUAGAAGGAUGCCUGAUCUGCAUGUUGAAGAUCAAUGGAGGAAAUUCUCAUAACUAUGAUGGUUUAGAGGUCGAGGAUCUCUGCUACAACGAAUAUAAUUGCCCCUUAAAAAGAGGACGAUUAGGAGGAUAACACUGAAAAAGGUUGCUAGCCUUUCUGCUCCAAAGUAACAAAAUAUGUAUUUGUAAGUAAGAAAAUAUCAUACUUUCACUUUCAAUGUCUGGGGGUAUUCAAUUCUGGUUUUAGAGAGGCUGAUGUUGUCAUGUAAUUGCCCAAAUCUUUGUAACUGAGCAUGUUGUCUACUGUUGGAUAUGUCGUGUUUCCCUUGAUAUUUGAUUUGAUAACAUUGUCCUUGUUAUACUUCAUUUGCUUUUCUAUUUAUAUUAAAUACUCGAAAGUAUUAUUGUUUAAUUACACACUGCACUGCCCAAAUUGUUGAAUGUGUGAUCUAAAUAAGUUUAAUCUUUUCUGCUAUUGAUUGAAAAAAAAGUUCUUGGUGAGUCUACAAGUGAUAACAUUGACAUAGGAUUUACAUUCAUAGUAGUUUGUCAACCUUUUAGAUUUAUUAUGGUCAAUUGGCCCUGAGAUUGAGACUGUGGUGGGAACACUGAUGUUUUGGUUGCAUGAUAAGAAUUUUGUGGGAAGAAUAACAGAUGCAAGGAACUUUGUCAAGGAGAUAAAAUCAUAUAUCAAAGGUUUUUUAUUUGUUUCUACUCAUGUUUUAGGUUGUAAGUGAAUGUAGAAACAAAUUUUUAUUUUUGCCAACUCUUUUCAUGGAGAUAAACCAUAUAUUAAGGUUUUUAUAUUACUACUUUUUUUCCUGUAUGGUGUUGAACCAGUUGAAGUGCAGUUCUGGAUAUGGACGAAAGGCAUCUGAUCUUACCAUUAUGUAUGUGUCAUUUUGGCUUUUGGCCUUAUAUUGCUAUUUUAGUGUGUAUAAAUUUUAUUAUUGUAUUAAGUAGAUAUUAGAAGCCAAGAAAUUAAUCUAAGCUUCAUUUAUAAUAGGGUUAAAUAAGCUUUUGGUCCCUCUAAAAUUUUGAAAUUUUGCUUUUAGUCCCUGUACAAUAAAAUUAAAAUUACAGGGACCAAAUGUACAAACAGUGAUAUUUAGAAGGACUAUAAAGUGCAAUUUUAUUUUACAGGGACUAAAAACAAAAUUCUAAAAUUUUAGAGGGACUAAAAACAUACUUAACCCUUUAUAAUAUUACAUGUUUGAUUGGUCUUUUGUCACCACUAAGCAAAUUUUCCCCAUCCGAAACAAAUAUUUUUCUACAAAUUGUGGGAACAACUCUUAAUAUUUAUCUUUGUUACAUUCUAUAAUUCUACUGCUUUUCAGCUAGGUAUUUGGUGUAGAACCAACUGAAAGUGAAGUUCUGUAUAUUUGUUCUUUUGUCUACAGUCCUCUAUAUAGCUAAUUAAGUGUGUGUAAAUAUUAUGCUCUAUUGCUGUGUGGAUUUAAGAUUAGAAGUUAUGACAUCCAAAUACCCAUUUUUAAUAUUCAAUCAGUGUAUCAGAUUAUGUAGAUGUACCUUAUUACAUAUGAUAAACAAGAGAAUUGGGACGCAUCCAACUUGAAUAUGGGAAAAUGAAAACUUGGUGAAGGGACUUGUGCAGAGAUGUACUAAUUGGACAGAACCUGAAGACCGCAGCUACAAAGUCAAUAGUGCCUCAAUUUGAAUUUGAUUCAUUCCAAAUAUAUGAGAUGGAUUAUUGAAUGCCUCAAUGACACGAAAGGAAUCAAUGAAUAUUAUUUGUUAUAUAAAUUGUUGCUAUUAUUUGGAUGUCUUGUUGACCCUAAAGAAACAUUAUGAAAUCUUUACUCAAUAUUUGAAAGUUGCAUGAUGCCUUCAAUGCGAUGUUGAUGUGAAUUGAAUUUGACCCUUAGGGAUGGAUUAUUUAAUGCCACGAUGACCUGAAACGAAUCACAAAUAUUAUUUAUUCCAUAAAAUGUUGUUAGUAUUAAGGAUGAUAUCUAUUGUAUGCUUAUAAA